Molecule: RNA transcript, 656 nt
Organism: Daucus carota subsp. sativus
Lineage: Eukaryota; Viridiplantae; Streptophyta; Magnoliopsida; Apiales; Apiaceae
Exons: 2
Source: RefSeq, a predicted model, not a curated record
AGAAACCAGAUUCAAGAAAGAUUUUAUACAGCUAGCUAGAAACAAAUAUAUAAGACCAAGGAAACGAUUUGAUUUCUGCAUCCCAAUUUCUUUUGAGUUCAGGGUUCCUUUUCAAACUUCUAAAUGCUUUAUAAAGUUCUGCGAACCACUCAUUUGUCCUUCCAAUUUCUAUCAUUUCCAUCUUAUAAGAAAACAGAUUAUAGAUGAAUAGGCUUGUACAUAUUCAGUCCUAUUACUUCCAUCAGAACAUACUAGUACUUUUUUAGCUUAGGUAGCUAGGAUGUCAUUCAUUCAAUCAAGCAACAACAAACUUUUCAGAUUUAACAAACCUUCUCAUUUCUCAAUACCAAUUCUUUUCUUCAUCUUCUUCCUCUCUCUCUCUUUCCAUCCCCUUGCUAUAUAUCUACUUAUUCACCUCCAACUCCUAAUGAUUCAUAUUCCACACAUCCAUCUCUCCAUUUUCUUUCAGUUAUAUUGUCUAAACAUGAUUUGUAUCCACAGCAAACAUAGUUGCCAUCAUAAAACCCCCCACCAUGAUAGACCACCUCACUCUGUGAUUAUCACUCUUUUGCUACUACUCGUAAUAUCGACAAAAUUCAUUGCUGCGGCCACUACAGGUAGAAGAAUACUGCAAAAACCAGUUAGCCCCUCCCAGG